Small nuclear RNA from Anolis carolinensis (green anole), 103 nucleotides. Its record names the gene U2. It matches the Rfam family "U2 spliceosomal RNA". Rfam says of the family: U2 is a small nuclear RNA (snRNA) component of the spliceosome (involved in pre-mRNA splicing). Lineage: Eukaryota; Metazoa; Chordata; Lepidosauria; Squamata; Anolidae. The record is from Ensembl.
CUCGCUUCUCGGCCUUUUGGCUAAGAUUCAAGUGUAGUAUCUGUUCUUAUCAGUAUUUCUUUUCUGGAACUGGCAGCUGAUGACAUCAGUCCAGGGACCAUCA